Long non-coding RNA from Eriocheir sinensis (Chinese mitten crab), 852 nucleotides. RefSeq lists it as uncharacterized. NCBI's taxonomy places the organism in Eukaryota, Metazoa, Arthropoda, Malacostraca, Decapoda, Varunidae. The record is from RefSeq and is a predicted model, not a curated record. The transcript is spliced from 2 exons.
CACCCCUGCCACCCCUCACCGACCCAAGCGUGGCCGUGUGUUCUCUCCUCUUCCAUCUACGUCUCGUGGGUUGCUGGAUGAUGAUGAUGAAGACGUGGAUGACCCACAACCACUGCCUUCUGCUGAACUCCUCCCCUCUACAGCAGUGAGAUCAUCCAAACGGAGGAGGGGGCCCCAGAAUCCAGUUGUAGGGCAACCGCUGAGGAGUGUGGGCUCAACACUACGUGGAAGGGACAAGAGGAAAACUGUGUGGAGGCCUGAUUCGAAAAGUAACCUUACCAGGUUGCAGGUGACAUACGACACUCCAGGAAAAACCUCCGAUGUGUUUGAUGGGUUGGAAAACAUUGAUGAAUACUUCCACCAGUUCAUCGAUGACUACAUGCUGGCUAUGGUUACAUUGCACACUAAUGACAGGGUCGCCAAUGUUAUGAGGGGUGCGGUGCGGCGCCUUGGUAUCCCAAGACUGAGCAUCAGCCUCCGUAGCCUCAUACGUAACACUUUCAAUGUCCCACCUGAGGAGAGGCCAGCAACACAGCAAAAGAAAACUGAGAAGAGGCAGCGGUGCUUCCUCUGCCCCACCAGAGAGCAGGGACGAACCCGGGUCUGCUGCAGUGGAUGUGGGAAGUCCGUGUGUGCAUCCCACUACUCUGUCUUCUGCCCCUCCUGUUGCUAGGCGUGGAUUUUGCAGAGAACUGGGACUGUGCAGGCUGUGAGAGACAACUGUAAUACACCGAUCUCCAGAGGCUUUAUUUUUUUGUAUGGACAUAAGUAUUUAUUUUUUAUUUUUUUCUAAUGAUAGUUAAAAUAAGGUAGAAGUUUUUUGUAUUCUUUGUAAUAAAGUACAUAAAGCAU